GGUUAAGUUAGAAAGGGCGCACGGUGGAUGCCUUGGCACUAGGAGCCGAUGAAGGACGGGACGAACACCGAUAUGCUUCGGGGAGCUGUAAGCAAGCUUUGAUCCGGAGAUUUCCGAAUGGGGAAACCCACCACUCGUAAUGGAGUGGUAUCCAUAUCUGAAUACAUAGGAUAUGAGAAGGCAGACCCGGGGAACUGAAACAUCUAAGUACCCGGAGGAAGAGAAAGCAAAUGCGAUUCCCUGAGUAGCGGCGAGCGAAACGGGACCAGCCCAAACCAAGAGGCUUGCCUCUUGGGGUUGUAGGACACUCUGUACGGAGUUACAAAGGAACGAGGUAGAUGAAGAGGUCUGGAAAGGCCCGCCAUAGGAGGUAACAGCCCUGUAGUCAAAACUUCGUUCUCUCCUGAGUGGAUCCUGAGUACGGCGGAACACGUGAAAUUCCGUCGGAAUCCGGGAGGACCAUCUCCCAAGGCUAAAUACUCCCUAGUGACCGAUAGUGAACCAGUACCGUGAGGGAAAGGUGAAAAGCACCCCGGAAGGGGAGUGAAAGAGAUCCUGAAACCGUGUGCCUACAAGUAGUCAGAGCCCGUUAACGGGUGAUGGCGUGCCUUUUGUAGAAUGAACCGGCGAGUUAUGAUCCCGUGCAAGGUUAAGCAGAAGAUGCGGAGCCGCAGCGAAAGCGAGUCUGAAUAGGGCGAAUUGAGUACGUGGUCGUAGACCCGAAACCAGGUGAUCUACCCAUGUCCAGGGUGAAGUUCAGGUAACACUGAAUGGAGGCCCGAACCCACGCACGUUGAAAAGUGCGGGGAUGAGGUGUGGGUAGGGGUGAAAUGCCAAUCGAACCUGGAGAUAGCUGGUUCUCUCCGAAAUAGCUUUAGGGCUAGCCUCAAGGUAAGAGUCUCGGAGGUAGAGCACUGAUUGGACUAGGGGCCCCUACCGGGUUACCGAAUUCAGUCAAACUCCGAAUGCCGAUGACUUAUCCUUGGGAGUCAGACUGCGAGUGAUAAGAUCCGUAGUCGAAAGGGAAACAGCCCAGACCGCCAGCUAAGGUCCCAAAGUAUACGUUAAGUGGAAAAGGAUGUGGAGUUGCUUAGACAACCAGGAUGUUGGCUUAGAAGCAGCCACCAUUUAAAGAGUGCGUAAUAGCUCACUGGUCGAGUGACUCUGCGCCGAAAAUGUACCGGGGCUAAACGUAUCACCGAAGCUGCGGACUGUUCUUCGAACAGUGGUAGGAGAGCGUUCUAAGGGCUGUGAAGCAAGACCGGAAGGACUUGUGGAGCGCUUAGAAGUGAGAAUGCCGGUAUGAGUAGCGAAAGAGGGGUGAGAAUCCCCUCCACCGAAUGCCUAAGGUUUCCUGAGGAAGGCUCGUCCGCUCAGGGUUAGUCGGGACCUAAGCCGAGGCCGAAAGGCGUAGGCGAUGGAUAACAGGUUGAUAUUCCUGUACCACCUCCUCACCAUUUGAGCAAUGGGGGGACGCAGGAGGAUAGGGUAAGCGCGGUAUUGGAUAUCCGCGUCCAAGCAGUUAGGCUGGGAAAUAGGCAAAUCCGUUUCCCGUGAAGGCUGAGCUGUGAUGGCGAGCGAAUUAUAGUAGCGAAGUUCCUGAUUCCACACUGCCAAGAAAAGCCUCUAGCGAGGUGAGAGGUGCCCGUACCGCAAACCGACACAGGUAGGCGAGGAGAGAAUCCUAAGGUGAUCGAGAGAACUCUCGUUAAGGAACUCGGCAAAAUGACCCCGUAACUUCGGGAGAAGGGGUGCUCUGUUAGGGUGCAAGCCCGAGAGAGCCGCAGUGAAUAGGCCCAGGCGACUGUUUAGCAAAAACACAGGUCUCUGCGAAGCCGUAAGGCGAAGUAUAGGGGCUGACGCCUGCCCGGUGCUGGAAGGUUAAGAGGAGCGCUUAGCGUAAGCGAAGGUGCGAAUUGAAGCCCCAGUAAACGGCGGCCGUAACUAUAACGGUCCUAAGGUAGCGAAAUUCCUUGUCGGGUAAGUUCCGACCCGCACGAAAGGCGCAACGAUCUGGGCACUGUCUCAACGAGAGACUCGGUGAAAUUAUAGUACCUGUGAAGAUGCAGGUUACCCGCGACAGGACGGAAAGACCCCGUGGAGCUUUACUGCAGCCUGAUAUUGAAUGUUGGUACAGCUUGUACAGGAUAGGUAGGAGCCUUGGAAACCGGAGCGCCAGCUUCGGUGGAGGCAUCGGUGGGAUACUACCCUGGCUGUAUUGACCUUCUAACCCGCCGCCCUUAUCGGGCGGGGAGACAGUGUCAGGUGGGCAGUUUGACUGGGGCGGUCGCCUCCUAAAAGGUAACGGAGGCGCCCAAAGGUUCCCUCAGAAUGGUUGGAAAUCAUUCGCAGAGUGUAAAGGCACAAGGGAGCUUGACUGCGAGACCUACAAGUCGAGCAGGGACGAAAGUCGGGCUUAGUGAUCCGGUGGUUCCGCAUGGAAGGGCCAUCGCUCAACGGAUAAAAGCUACCCCGGGGAUAACAGGCUUAUCUCCCCCAAGAGUCCACAUCGACGGGGAGGUUUGGCACCUCGAUGUCGGCUCAUCGCAUCCUGGGGCUGUAGUCGGUCCCAAGGGUUGGGCUGUUCGCCCAUUAAAGCGGUACGCGAGCUGGGUUCAGAACGUCGUGAGACAGUUCGGUCCCUAUCCGUCGCGGGCGUAGGAAAUUUGAGAGGAGCUGUCCUUAGUACGAGAGGACCGGGAUGGACGCACCGCUGGUGUACCAGUUGUUCUGCCAAGGGCAUCGCUGGGUAGCUAUGUGCGGACGGGAUAAGUGCUGAAAGCAUCUAAGCAUGAAGCCCCCCUCAAGAUGAGAUUUCCCAUUCCGCAAGGAAGUAAGAUCCCUGAAAGAUGAUCAGGUUGAUAGGUCUGAGGUGGAAGUGUGGCGACACAUGGAGCUGACAGAUACUAAUCGAUCGAGGACUUAACCUA
RNAcentral lists this ribosomal RNA (2930 nucleotides) under Bacillus amyloliquefaciens. Its description in RNAcentral is "bacterial LSU rRNA". It matches the Rfam family "Bacterial large subunit ribosomal RNA". The record is from RNAcentral. Lineage: Bacteria; Bacillati; Bacillota; Bacilli; Caryophanales; Bacillaceae.